This 189-nucleotide small nucleolar RNA is filed under the name Sorex araneus (European shrew). Its description in RNAcentral is "Small nucleolar RNA U3 (ENSSARG00000016019.1)". It matches the Rfam family "Small nucleolar RNA U3". From Rfam's summary of the family: Small nucleolar RNAs (snoRNAs) are involved in the processing and modification of rRNA in the nucleolus. There are two main classes of snoRNAs: the box C/D class, and the box H/ACA class. The record is from RNAcentral. Lineage: Eukaryota; Metazoa; Chordata; Mammalia; Eulipotyphla; Soricidae.
AAGACUAUACUUUCAGGGAUCAUUUCUAUAGCUCGGUACUAGAGAAAUUUCUAUGAUCGUGUAGAGCACCAGAAACCAUGAGGAGCCAGAGCAUCCUCUCCUGAGCAUGAACCCAGUCCUAUGUUGUUUUUUCAACUACCUUUUACCACUGUUCAUUCUCCUCCCUUGGAGAGAAUGCAGUCUGAAUAG